UACGGGGGGGGCAAGCGUUGUUCGGAAUUACUGGGCGUAAAGGGCUCGUAGGUGGCCAACUAAGUCAGACGUGAAAUCCCUCGGCUUAACCGGGGAACUGCGUCUGAUACUGGAUGGCUUGAGUUUGGGAGAGGGACGCGGAAUUCCAGGUGUAGCGGUGAAAUGCGUAGAUAUCUGGAGGAACACCGGUGGCGAAGGCGGCUACCUGGACAGAAACUGACGCUGAGGCGCGAAAGCUAGGGGAGCAAACAGG
Molecule: ribosomal RNA, 253 nt
Filed under: uncultured bacterium
Lineage: Bacteria
Description: partial 16S ribosomal RNA
Rfam family: Bacterial small subunit ribosomal RNA
Source: RNAcentral